RNAcentral lists this ribosomal RNA (1478 nucleotides) under uncultured Microgenomates group bacterium. RNAcentral describes it as "bacterial SSU rRNA". It matches the Rfam family "Bacterial small subunit ribosomal RNA". The record is from RNAcentral.
UAGAGUUUGAUCCUGGCUCAGGAUGAACGCUGGCAGUGCGCCUGAGAUAUGCAAGUCGAGCGUUGCCCCAAUGGAGCUUGCUCCAGAAGGGAAGCGGCGGACGGCUGAGUAACACGUAGGAACCUGCCCCCAGGUAAGGGAUAGCUCAUCGAAAGAUGGGGUAAUACCUUAUAGUCCCAGCGGAACUUUUGUGAAGUUGGGUAAAGGAUUUAUUCGCCUAGGGAUGGACCUGCGGCCUAUCAGGUAGUUGGUGAGGAAAUGGCUCACCAAGCCGAUGACGGGUAGCUGGCCUCAUGAGGGUGGUCAGCCAGAGGGGGACUGAGACACGGCCCCCACUCCUACGGGAGGCAGCAAUCUGGAAUCGUCGGCAAUGGGGGAAACCCUGACCGCGCGACACUGCGUGUAGGAUUAAGCUCUAACGAGUGUAAACUACUGUGGUACAGGAAGAAGCCUUCGGGCAGACGGUACUGUACUAGAAAGGGGCCGCUAACUGCGUGCCAGAAGCGUCGGUAAUACGUGGGCCCCAAGCGUUAUCCGGUUUUAUUGGGCGUAAAGGGUCGUGUAGGCGGGUAGGUAAGUUAUCUUUGAAAUUCAGAGGCUCAACCUCUGUUCUGGAGGUAAUACUACCAAUCUAGAGUUUUCUUUAGGGUAAGCGGAACUGAGUGAGGAGUAGUGAAAUGCGUUGAUACACUCGGGAACACCAGUGGCGAAGGCGGCUUACUGAAAGAAGACUGACGCUGAGACACGAAAGCUAGGGUAGCGAAGCAGAUUAGAGACCUGCGUAGUCCUAGCCCUAAACGAAUGUUCGCUAGCUGCAUUGAUUCACCUUUGGUGGAUUGGUGUGGCGAAGGUAACCCGUUAAGCGAACCGCCUGGGGAGUACGGCUGCAAGGCUAAAACUCAAAGGAAUUGGCGGGGAGGCACACAACCAGUGGAACAUGUGGCUUAAUUCGAGAUGAACCGAAGAACCUCACCAGGGUUUGACAUAUAGCUGCACAUCCUACGAAAGUAGGACUUCUUCGAGAGUGCUAUACAGGUACUGCAUGGCUGUCGUCAGUUCGUUCCGUGAGGAGUGCCCUUAAGUGGGACAACGAACGCAACCCCCAUCGUAUGUUAUAAGUGUCAUACGAAACUGCCCCGACGUUACGUCGGGGAGGAAGGAGGGGCAGACGUCAAGUCAGCAUGGUCCUUAUACUCUGGGCUGCACACAUGUUACAAUGGGAAGGACAAUGGGUUUAGCUAACUCGCGAGAGUAUGCAAAUCCCACAAACCUUCUCUCAGUUGGGAUUGGAGUCUGCAAUUCGACUCCAUGAACGUGGAAUUGGUAGUAAUCGCGGAUCAGUCAUGUCGCGGUGAAUACGUUCUUGCCUCUUGCACACACCGCCCGUCAAGCCAACAAAGUCGCUGGCAUUCGAACCCCGACGUUAUGUCGGGGGAGAGUACUGGUGGCGAUGAGGGUUAAGUCGUAACAAGGUAACC